RNAcentral lists this ribosomal RNA (366 nucleotides) under Triticum aestivum (bread wheat). RNAcentral describes it as "partial small subunit ribosomal RNA". The record is from RNAcentral. Lineage: Eukaryota; Viridiplantae; Streptophyta; Magnoliopsida; Poales; Poaceae.
AUGCCCGAUCUGGAGCUUGAUCGGUGCAUGGCAAAUUUUGAUAGACAUGAUUGGUUAAAAUUUGCCAUGUGUAUCUCUGAUUUCUUAUACAAGUUUGCCAUGUUGUCUAUAACACAUGGAAAAAUUCUGAAAAUGUUAGUAGUACGCCAUUUAAUAAUUAAGAGAAAUAUUCUAAAUAAUGUGGUAUUUUUUUGGAAAAUCAUAUGGAAAAAUUCAGAAUUUUUUGUCUGCUCAAACAUGACAUUUUUUAGAGAAAUUUUCAUUUGCUUACAUGACAUUUUUGUAAAGUCACAUGACACAUGUUUGACACGUUAUCAUGGCAAAAUUCAUAAAAGUCGCUUACUCAAACAUGACCCUAGCAUGUAG